CCGAUCCUACGGGGGGCAGCAGUGAGGAAUAUUGGUCAGUGGGCGGAAGCCUGAACCAGCCACGUCGCGUGAGGGAAUAAGGCCCUACGGGUCGUAAACCUCUUUUGCCGGGGAGCAAGGGCCGGGACGAGUCCCGGUCCGGAGAGUACCCGGAGAAAAAGCAUCGGCUAACUCCGUGCCAGCAGCCGCGGUAAUACGGAGGAUGCGAGCGUUAUCCGGAUUUAUUGGGUUUAAAGGGUGCGUAGGCGGGCUUUUAAGUCAGCGGUAAAAAUUCGUGGCUCAACCCCGUCCGGCCGUUGAAAAUG
RNAcentral lists this ribosomal RNA (305 nucleotides) under uncultured bacterium. RNAcentral describes it as "bacterial SSU rRNA". It matches the Rfam family "Bacterial small subunit ribosomal RNA", at positions 332 to 635 of the family's 1533-position model. The record is from RNAcentral.